GACGAACGCUGGCGGCGUGCUUAACACAUGCAAGUCGAACGGAAAGGCCCUGCUUUUGUGGGGUGCUCGAGUGGCGAACGGGUGAGUAACACGUGAGUAAUCUGCCCUUGACUUUGGGAUAACUUCAGGAAACUGGGGCUAAUACCGGAUAGGAGCUCCUGCUGCAUGGUGGGGGUUGGAAAGUUUCGGCGGUUGGGGAUGGACUCACGGCUUAUCAGCUUGUUGGUGGGGUAGUGGCUUACCAAGGCUUUGACGGGUAGCCGGCCUGAGAGGGUGACCGGCCACAUUGGGACUGAGAUACGGCCCAGACUCCUACGGGAGGCAGCAGUGGGGAAUAUUGCACAAUGGGCGGAAGCCUGAUGCAGCAACGCCGCGUGCGGGAUGACGGCCUUCGGGUUGUAAACCGCUUUCGCCUGUGACGAAGCGUGAGUGACGGUAAUGGGUAAAGAAGCACCGGCUAACUACGUG
RNAcentral lists this ribosomal RNA (468 nucleotides) under uncultured bacterium. RNAcentral's name for it is "partial 16S ribosomal RNA". It matches the Rfam family "Bacterial small subunit ribosomal RNA", at positions 28 to 507 of the family's 1533-position model. The record is from RNAcentral.